This 1520-nucleotide ribosomal RNA is filed under the name Mycoplasma mobile 163K. Its description in RNAcentral is "bacterial SSU rRNA". It matches the Rfam family "Bacterial small subunit ribosomal RNA". Lineage: Bacteria; Bacillati; Mycoplasmatota; Mycoplasmoidales; Metamycoplasmataceae. The record is from RNAcentral.
AUUUUUUUGAGAGUUUGAUCCUGGCUCAGGAUGAACGCUGGCUGUGUGCCUAAUACAUGCAUGUCGAACGAAGAACUUGUUCUUAGUGGCGAAUGGGUGAGUAACACGUAUCUAACCUACCUUUUGGAUGGGGAUAACUGUUGGAAACAACAGCUAAUACCGAAUAACUAUUUUAGUCGCAUGACUUUAAUAUAAAAGGAGCGUUUGCUCCACCAAAAAAUGGGGAUGCGGAAUAUUAGUUAGUUGGCAGGGUAAAGGCCUACCAAGACGAUGAUAUUUAGCCGGGCUGAGAAGCCGAACGGCCACACUGGGACUGAGAUACGGCCCAGACUCCUACGGGAGGCAGCAGUAGGGAAUCUUCCACAAUGAGCGAAAGCUUGAUGGAGCGACACAGCGUGAAGGAUGAAGGUCUUCGGAUUGUAAACUUCUGUUAUAAGGGAAGAAAACCCUAGAGAGGAAAUGCUCUAGAUUUGACGGUACCUUAUCAGAAAGCGACGGCUAACUAUGUGCCAGCAGCCGCGGUAAUACAUAGGUCGCAAGCGUUAUCCGGAAUUAUUGGGCGUAAAGCGUUCGUAGGCGGUUUAUUAAGUCUGGAGUUAAAUACUGGUGCUCAACACCAGCCCGCUUUGGAUACUGGUAAACUAGAGUUAUGUAGAGGUAAGCGGAAUUCCAUGUGAAGUGGUGGAAUACGUAGAUAUAUGGAAGAACACCAAUGGCGAAGGCAGCUUACUGGACAUAUACUGACGCUCAGGAACGAAAGCGUGGGGAGCAAACAGGAUUAGAUACCCUGGUAGUCCACGCCGUAAACGUUGAUCAUUAGUUGGUGGGGAACUCACCGACACAGCUAACGCAUUAAAUGAUCCGCCUGAGUAGUAUGCUCGCAAGAGUGAAACUUAAAGGAAUUGGCGGGGACCCGCACAAGCGGUGGAGCAUGUGGUUUAAUUUGAAGAUACGCGUAGAACCUUACCCACUCUUGACAUUUUUUGCAAAGGUAUGGAGACAUACUGGAGGUUAACAGAAUAACAGAUGGUGCAUGGUUGUCGUCAGCUCGUGUCGUGAGAUGUUUGGUUAAGUCCAGCAACGAGCGCAACCCUUGUCUUUAGUUACUAACAUUAAGUUGAGGACUCUAGAGAGACUGCCUGGGUAACCAGGAGGAAGGUGAGGACGACGUCAAAUCAUCAUGCCUCUUACGAGUGGGGCAACACACGUGCUACAAUGGCUAAUACAAAGUGAAGCAAAAUGGUGACAUUAAGCAAACCACAAAAAAUUAGUCUCAGUUCGGAUCGAAGUCUGAAACUCGACUUCGUGAAGUCGGAAUCGCUAGUAAUCAUGAAUCAGCUACGUCAUGGUGAAUACGUUCUCGGGUCUUGCACACACCGCCCGUCACACCAUGGGAGCUAGUAAUGCCCGAAGCCGGAUAGUUAACUUCGGAGGCUACUGUCUAAGGCAGGACUGGUAACUGGGGUGAAGUCGUAACAAGGUAUCCCUACGAGAACGUGGGGAUGGAUCACCUCCUUUCU